AAUAGAUACCCCGGUAGUCCAUGCCGUAAACGAUGUCUACUAGCCGUUGGGGCCUUUGAGGCUUUAGUGGCGCAGCUAACGCGAUAAGUAGACCGCCUGGGGAGUACGGUCGCAAGACUAAAACUCAAAUGAAUUGACGGGGGCCCGCACAAGCGGUGGAGCAUGUGGUUUAAUUCGAUGCAACGCGAAGAACCUUACCUGGUCUUGACAUAGUAAGAACUUUCCAGAGAUGGAUUGGUGCCUUCGGGAACUUACAUACAGGUGCUGCAUGGCUGUCGUCAGCCCGUGUCGUGAGAUGUUGGGUUAAGUCCCGCAACGAGCGCAACCCUUUUCCUUAUUUGCCAGCGGGUUAAGCCGGGAACUUUAAGGAUACUGCCAGUGACAAACUGGAGGAAGGCGGGGACGACGUCAAGUCAUCAUGGCCCUUACGACCAGGGCUACACACGUGCUACAAUGGUCGGUACAAAGGGUUGCUACCACGCGAGUGGAUGCUAAUCUCAAAAAGCCGAUCGUAGUCCGGAUUGGAGUCUGCAACUCGACUCC
RNAcentral lists this ribosomal RNA (543 nucleotides) under uncultured bacterium. RNAcentral's name for it is "bacterial SSU rRNA". It matches the Rfam family "Bacterial small subunit ribosomal RNA", at positions 777 to 1319 of the family's 1533-position model. The record is from RNAcentral.